UACGUAGGGUGCGAGCGUUAAUCGGAAUUACUGGGCGUAAAGCGUGCGCAGGCGGCGCGUUAAGACAGGUGUGAAAGCCCCGAGCUUAACUUGGGAAUUGCGCUUGUGACUGGCGUGCUGGAGUGUGGCAGAGAGAGGUGGAAUUCCACGUGUAGCAGUGAAAUGCGUAGAGAUGUGGAGGAACACCGAUGGCGAAGGCAGCCUCCUGGGCCAGCACUGACGCUCAUGCACGAAAGCGUGGGGAGCAAACAGG
This 253-nucleotide ribosomal RNA is filed under the name uncultured bacterium. RNAcentral describes it as "partial 16S ribosomal RNA". It matches the Rfam family "Bacterial small subunit ribosomal RNA", at positions 524 to 776 of the family's 1533-position model. The record is from RNAcentral.